RNAcentral lists this ribosomal RNA (421 nucleotides) under Microsporidia sp. RNAcentral's name for it is "SSU rRNA". It matches the Rfam family "Eukaryotic small subunit ribosomal RNA", at positions 1341 to 1791 of the family's 1831-position model. Lineage: Eukaryota; Fungi; Microsporidia. The record is from RNAcentral.
CCUUAACCUGCUAACUAGAUUUGAGCAUUGAAGAAUGACAAAUUUUCUUAGAGGGACUAGCUUUUUUAGGUUUAACUAGCUGGAAGUUUGAGGCAAUAACAGGUCUGUGAUGCCCUUAGAUGUUCUGGGCCGCACGCGCGCUACACUGGCAGAGGCAACGAGCACAACCUUUUCUGAAGAGAAUGGGGAAUCUUUUAAACUCUGCCGUGAUGGGGAUAAGCCAUUGUAAUUAUUGGUUUUGAACGAGGAAUUCCUAGUAAGCGCAAGUCAUUAGCUUGCGUUGAUUACGUCCCUGCCCUUUGUACACACCGCCCGUCGCUACUACCGAUUGAAUGGCUCAGUGAGGUCUUUGGAUUUGAUUGGCCGUUAGGCUGAUUGGAGAAGUUGCACAAACUUGGUCAUUUAGAGGAAGUAAAAGUCG